Molecule: long non-coding RNA, 211 nt
Filed under: Lotus japonicus
Lineage: Eukaryota; Viridiplantae; Streptophyta; Magnoliopsida; Fabales; Fabaceae
Description: long non-coding RNA (LJAP_LNC000248)
Source: RNAcentral
UCGAAGCUCUCCACCUUUAGACAAUUCAAUGUCAUUAUAGGAAGCUAUCCAUCUUUGCCAAAAUCUAAAUCUAUGGAUGACAAUGGGUCUCAAAAUCAUAGGGUACCCGCAAAAAAUAUCCACUAUGGGUAGGGUAAAAAACCGCUAAAUGGGUAUGAGGUUGAGUAUAGAUAAUUACCCGCAAAAAAUAGAGGGUAUGGGUGCGGGUAUG